Molecule: microRNA, 20 nt
Filed under: Mus musculus (house mouse)
Lineage: Eukaryota; Metazoa; Chordata; Mammalia; Rodentia; Muridae
Description: mmu-miR-3967
Source: miRBase by way of RNAcentral
AGCUUGUCUGACUGAUGUUG